Molecule: ribosomal RNA, 497 nt
Filed under: uncultured bacterium
Lineage: Bacteria
Description: bacterial SSU rRNA
Rfam family: Bacterial small subunit ribosomal RNA
Source: RNAcentral
ACUCAAAGGAAUUGACGGGGACCCGCACAAGCAGCGGAGCAUGUGGUUUAAUUCGAAGCAACGCGAAAAACCUUACCAAGACUUGACAUCGUAUGACCACUAUAGAGAUAUAGUAUUCUCUUCGGAGACAUAUAGACAGGUGGUGCAUGGUUGUCGUCAGCUCGUGUCGUGAGAUGUUGGGUUAAGUCCCGCAACGAGCGCAACCCUUGUGAAUAGUUGCCAAUAUUAAGUUAGGAACUCUAUUCAGACUGCCGUGGAUAACACGGAGGAAGGUGGGGACGACGUCAAAUCAUCAUGCCCCUUAUGUCUUGGGCUACACACGUGCUACAAUGGCUAUUACAAAGAGCAGCGAAUCGGUAACGACAAGCGAAUCUCAUAAAGAUAGUCUCAGUUCGGACUGUGGGCUGCAACCCGCCCACACGAAGUCGGAGUUGCUAGUAAUCCCGAAUCAGCAUGUCGGGGUGAAUGCGUUCCCGGGUCUUGUACACACCGCCCGU